UCAAGCGUUUAAGAGCAUAUAGUGGAUGCCUUGGCACUGAAAGCCGAUGAAGGACGUGAUAUACUGCGAUAAGUUUCGGGGAGCUGUUUGUAGGCUUUGAUCCGGAAAUUUCCGAAUGGGAAAACCCAACUCUUUAAGAGUUACCUUGCACUGAAUACAUAGGUGUAAGGAGAUAACCUAGGGAACUGAAACAUCUAAGUACCUAGAGGAAAAGAAAUCAAUUGAGAUUCCGUUAGUAGUGGCGAGCGAACGCGGAACAGGCCAGUAACUUUUUUUGUACAACUAGAAUAACCUGGAAAGGUUAACCAUAGAGGGUGAUAGUCCCGUAUAGGUAAAAGCAAUUAAAGUUCUCGAGUAAGGCGGGACACGUGAAAUCCUGUUUGAAGAUAGGGGGACCACCCUCUAAGCCUAAAUACUCUUCAGUGACCGAUAGUGAACUAGUACCGUGAGGGAAAGGUGAAAAGAACCCCUAUUAGGGGAGUGAAAUAGAUCCUGAAACUGUAUGCUUACAAACUGUCGAAGCCCCAUGUGGGUGACGACGUACCUUUUGUAUAAUGGGUCAGUGACUUAAUUUAUGUAGCAAGCUUAAGCCGUUUAGGUGUAGGCGUAGCGAAAGCGAGUCUUAAUAGGGCGAUUAGUUACAUGGAUUAGAACCCGAAACCGAGUGAUCUAGCUAUGAGCAGGUUGAAGGCAAGGUAAUACUUGCUGGAGGACCGAACCAGUUGACGUUGAAAAGUCUUUGGAUGACUUGUUGCUAGGGGUGAAAGGCCAAUCAAACUCGGAGAUAGCUGGUUUUCCGCGAAAACUAUUUAGGUAGUGCGUCAUAUGAAUACCAUCGGGGGUAAAGCACUGGAUGGGCAAGGGGGAAGAAAUUCUUACUAAGUCCAACCAAACUCUGAAUACCGAUGAGUAAUAUAUGGCAGACAGACUACGGGUGCUAAGGUCCGUGGUCGAGAGGAAAACAGUCCAGACCAACAGCUAAGGUCCCCAAGUUAUUGUUAAGUGGGAAAGGAUGUCGGACGACCAAAACAGCCAGGAGGUUGGCUUAGAAGCAGCCAUCCUUUAAAGAAAGCGUAACAGCUCACUGGUCUAAAUAAGUUGUCCGGCGCCGAAGAUUUAACGGGGCUAAACAAUACACCGAAGCUUUGGACACAAUUUAUUGUGUGGUAGCGGAGCGUUCCGUACGUUGUUGAAGGGAGACUCGUGAGAGCUCCUGGAGAUAUCGGAAGUGAGAAUGCUGACAUGAGUAGCGACAAAAAGUGUGAGAAACACUUUCGCCGAAAAUCCAAGGGUUCCUGCGCAAGGCUAAUCCGCGCAGGGUGAGUCGGCUCCUAAGGCGAGGUCGAAAGACGUAGUCGAUGGGAAACAGGUUAAUAUUCCUGUACCUGAUGAGAUGUGACGGAUGACGUAUAUUGUAUACCCUUAUAAUGAUUGGGUGUGCAGUGAAGUUGUUCCAGGAAAUAGCCUCAUCAUUAAAGACCGUACCCGAAACCGACACAGGUGGAUAGGUAGAGUAUACCAAGGCGCUUGAGAGAACUAUGUUGAAGGAACUCGGCAAAAUACCUCCGUAAGUUCGCGAGAAGGAGGCCCGGUUUCUAGGCAACUGGAAGCUGGGGGCACAAACCAGGGGGUGGCGACUGUUUACUAAAAACACAGGGCUCUGCGAAGUCGUAAGACGACGUAUAGGGUCUGACGCCUGCCCGGUGCCUGAAGGUUAAAAGGAGGGGUGAGAGCUCCGAAUUGAAGCCCAGGUAAACGGCGGCCGUAACUAUAACGGUCCUAAGGUAGCGAAAUUCCUUGUCGGGUAAGUUCCGACCUGCACGAAUGGCGUAACGACUUCCCCGCUGUCUCCAACAUAGACUCAGUGAAAUUGAAUUGCCUGUCAAGAUGCAGGCUUCCCGCGGUUAGACGGAAAGACCCCGUGCACCUUUACUACAACUUUACACUGAUAACAGGCACAAUAUGUGCAGAAUAGGUGGUAGGCUUUGAAGCAGGGACGCCAGUCCUUGUGGAGCCUCCUUUGAGAUACCACCCUUAUU
RNAcentral lists this ribosomal RNA (2039 nucleotides) under marine metagenome. RNAcentral describes it as "bacterial LSU rRNA". It matches the Rfam family "Bacterial large subunit ribosomal RNA", at positions 1 to 2210 of the family's 2925-position model. The record is from RNAcentral.